CGGGGUGUAGCGUAGUCCGGUAACGCGUCCGCUUUGGGAGCGGAAGACCACAGGUUCGAAUCCUGUCACCCCGACCA
Molecule: transfer RNA, 77 nt
Filed under: Paraburkholderia denitrificans
Lineage: Bacteria; Pseudomonadati; Pseudomonadota; Betaproteobacteria; Burkholderiales; Burkholderiaceae
Also listed under: 2 other names
Description: tRNA-Pro
Rfam family: tRNA
About the family: Transfer RNA (tRNA) molecules are approximately 80 nucleotides in length. Their secondary structure includes four short double-helical elements and three loops (D, anti-codon, and T loops). Further hydrogen bonds mediate the characteristic L-shaped molecular structure. tRNAs have two regions of fundamental functional importance: the anti-codon, which is responsible for specific mRNA codon recognition, and the 3' end, to which the tRNAs corresponding amino acid is attached (by aminoacyl-tRNA synthetases). tRNAs cope with the degeneracy of the genetic code in two manners: having more than one tRNA (with a specific anti-codon) for a particular amino acid; and 'wobble' base-pairing, i.e. permitting non-standard base-pairing at the 3rd anti-codon position.
Source: RNAcentral